Molecule: non-coding RNA, 84 nt
Organism: Podarcis lilfordi (Lilford's wall lizard)
Lineage: Eukaryota; Metazoa; Chordata; Lepidosauria; Squamata; Lacertidae
Source: the annotation of a GenBank genome assembly
GAUAAAAGAGGUGGUAGGCUCUGUGUUACACUUUUAAGACCCUGGGAGAAAAAGUGUAAGACAGAGCCUACCACCCCUUUGAUC